UCACGAACCACAACCUCAAGUAAAACUUCCUUAUCUACCUUAUCAAAACCGGAAACGGACUCUCGACCAUACAUCAAAGAAAUUGAGAACAUGGUGCUCCAAAUUAAUGAAAUGUCACAGCACUUUUUAAAAAAUAAACUUGAUUUAAUAACGUA
This is a long non-coding RNA of Pararge aegeria (speckled wood butterfly), 155 nucleotides long. RefSeq lists it as uncharacterized. NCBI's taxonomy places the organism in Eukaryota, Metazoa, Arthropoda, Insecta, Lepidoptera, Nymphalidae. The record is from RefSeq and is a predicted model, not a curated record. The transcript has 2 exons.